ACUCCUACGGGAGGCAGCAGUGGGGAAUAUUGCACAAUGGGCGCAAGCCUGAUGCAGCCAUGCCGCGUGUGUGAAGAAGGCCUUCGGGUUGUAAAGCACUUUCAGUCGUGAGGAAGGUAGUGUAGUUAAUAGCUGCAUUAUUUGACGUUAGCGACAGAAGAAGCACCGGCUAACUCCGUGCCAGCAGCCGCGGUAAUACGGAGGGUGCGAGCGUUAAAUCGGAAUUACUGGGCGUAAAGCGCAUGCAGGUGGUUUGUUAAGUCAGAUGUGAAAGCCCGGGGCUCAACCUCGGAAUAGCAUUUGAAACUGGCAGACUAGAGUACUGUAGAGGGGGGUAGAAUUUCAGGUGUAGCGGUGAAAUGCGUAGAGAUCUGAAGGAAUACCGGUGGCGAAGGCGGCCCCCUGGACAGAUACUGACACUCAGAUGCGAAAGCGUGGGGAGCAAACAGGAUUAGAUACCCUGGUA
RNAcentral lists this ribosomal RNA (466 nucleotides) under uncultured bacterium. RNAcentral describes it as "bacterial SSU rRNA". It matches the Rfam family "Bacterial small subunit ribosomal RNA", at positions 335 to 792 of the family's 1533-position model. The record is from RNAcentral.